AUAAAAUAGGGUUUAUGUUUUGAGUGAUUUCGAGCGUUUUAUUGCAGAUCUACGACUGAAUUUUUUUGAGUUCAUUGUUAUAGUUGUGUUGAAUACAUGUCGUGAAUUUGAGCUCGAUCUAACGGUUGAACUGAGAGAUAUUGAGGUUUAAGUGAGUCAAGGUCUUAGAAAGUAGAAUUUUAGGUCUAGUGAGGGUUUUUUAAAUUUCAUGCAAUCUACUAGUUGGAUUGGAGUAAAACUUAUGUGAGAGGAUAUAAGACUUGUUUUCCUAUGUCCUUGGGAAAUUUGAAACCAAUCGAAGGGCGCAAAGAAGACAAAUUGGCUCUGGAAGUUUGGCAACAAGAUUGGAGAAGGAGGCCGGCUAACACCCGAAAACAUUUUUGAGGUUUUCGUCAAUUUGGUAACUCCGAUCCUUUUCAAAAUUUUUUUUCUUGUUUUGAACUUGAUUUUUAAGAAGUGUGAAAAUUUUGAAUUGAGAUCAACGGUUUAUUCAUUAGAUAUUGAGGUUUAAAUUUGUCAUAGGAAUUACUAGGAUUUGGAUUAAGGUUUGGCUAGGGUUCGGUUUAGGGUUUGGAUUAGGGUUUGGACUAGGAUUUGGAUUAGGGUUUGGCUAGGAUUCGGUUUAGGGUUUGGAUUAGGAUUUGGAUUAGGGUUUAGGAUUUGGUUAGGAUUUGAUUUAGGAUUUGGAUUAGGAUUUGGAUUAGGAUUUGGUUAGGAUUUGAUUUAAGGUUUGGUUUAGGAUUUAGGAUUUGGAUUAGAGUUUAGGAUUGGAUUAGGGUUUGAAUUAGAGUUUGGAUUAGGAUUUAGAGUUUGUUUAGGGUUUGAUUUAGGGUUUGGAUUAGAGUUUGAUUUAAGGUUUGAUUUAGGGUUUAGGAUUUGGAUUAGAGUUUUGGGUUGGAUUAGGAUUUGGAUUAGGAUUUAGAGUUUGGUUAGGGUUUGAUUUAGGAUUUGGAUUAGGGUUUAGUUAGGAUUUGAUUUAAGGUUUGGUUUAGGGUUUAGGAUUGGAUUAGGGUUUGGUUUAGGUUUUGAUUUAGGGUUUGGUUUAGGAUUUAGGGUUUGGAAUAGGAUUUAAUUUAAGAUUUGUUUAGGAUUUGACUUAGGAUUUAGGAAUUAUUAAGGUUUAAGAUUUAAUUAGGUUUGGUCUAAAGUUGAGUGAAAUUCAAUAGGGUUUUAACUAGAAUUAAAUUAAGGUUGAAUUGACAUAUAUUUGAGUAAAAUUUGUGAUCAUUCUAAUAUUUCUUUAAAAAUUUUAUUAGUUGUCUGAAAUUUCUUUGAGUUGUUUUGAAUUAGAUUACGUUUGUUUA
Molecule: long non-coding RNA, 1304 nt
Filed under: Physcomitrium patens
Lineage: Eukaryota; Viridiplantae; Streptophyta; Bryopsida; Funariales; Funariaceae
Description: long non-coding RNA (PPAT_LNC007333)
Source: RNAcentral